Molecule: ribosomal RNA, 497 nt
Filed under: uncultured bacterium
Lineage: Bacteria
Description: partial 16S ribosomal RNA
Rfam family: Bacterial small subunit ribosomal RNA
Source: RNAcentral
GAUGAACGCUGGCGGCGUGCCUAAUACAUGCAAGUCGAGCGAACAGACGAGGAGCUUGCUCCUCGGACGUUAGCGGCGGACGGGAGAGUAACACGUGUAUAACCUACCUAUAAGACUGGUAUAAUUUCGGGAAACCGGAGCUAAUACCGGAUAAUAUAUUGAACCGCGUGGUGCAAUAGUGAAAGUCGGUGUUGCUGGCACUUAUAGAUGGAUCCGCGCCGCAUUAGCUAGUUGGUAAGUUAACGGGUUACCAAGGCUACGAUGCGUAGCCGACCGGAGAGAGUGGUAGCCGACCUUGGAGCUGAGCCGGCGUCCUGACUCCUGCGGGACGGACCAGACGCGUAUGUUCCGCAAUGGGCGAGAGCAUGACGGAGCGGGGGGGCGUCAGUGGUGACAGUGCUCCGUUCGUGAAGCUCUGUUACGAGGGGUGAACAAAUGUGUCCGUAACUGUGCAGGUCUUGACGGUAACUGGUCAAGAAGCCACGGCUAACUACGUG